CGCCCCGUCACCGGGCGAGGGCCGACGUCCGCGUGCAGCCGUGGGCGUGCGCCCCGCGGCUCCUCGCGCCGCCUCGCCGACCCCCCGGGGCCCGCCCGUCGUGAGAAACUUCACGGCGGUACUUAGGGAGUGGCCACUAAGAUCGCCCUGAGACGGGGCUGGACGGUCUGGCGGGAGACUCAGCUUGUCAUUGCAUGUCAUUCUAGCAUUUCUUCUAUUAAAAGGAAACUUGUUUUACCACGUGUA
Canis lupus familiaris (dog) is the source of this 246-nucleotide long non-coding RNA. RefSeq lists it as uncharacterized. NCBI's taxonomy places the organism in Eukaryota, Metazoa, Chordata, Mammalia, Carnivora, Canidae. The transcript has 2 exons. The record is from RefSeq and is a predicted model, not a curated record.